GCGAUGGAAUCGGAACAGUUUCGUGAAGUGAAAUGACGAGAGUCCGGAGGUAUAGCAGGCAGCUACCGAGCCGAGGUCAGUGAGUGAGUGGAGCAGCGCUUUUACGUCGUUUCACCGGUGCGGUUCGUUCUUGGCUCGUGACUCUUCUAACUGUUGUAAAGUGUAAAGUGAGCUCGGGGUGUCCGCACUCCUCUAGUGCCGUGAUUAAGUGUGUAUCUGUGCUCCGCUAAUGAAUAAAUGUUAAUGUCGGUAUCUAAGUGUAAAUCACGUUAGCGUAAUUUAAAUCCAAAGAAAGACAUGCUGUUCAGGUUCAUCCGUAAGUGUGAGUAAGAGAGAGAGUGUCAGUGUGUUCCACUGGAUCAUGAGUGACCCAGCCAGUAAGUAGUGUAUAAUCUAGUGUAAGUUACCCUGGUGAAUAUAAGGUGUGUGGGCUGAUAUUAACACUACAGAGUUGAUUGGAAGUCGCUUUGGAGAAAAGUGUCUGCUAAAUAAAUAAAUGUAAGUGUUAGUGUGGACGUUAAUGUUAGUAGCGUAAAUGUAAGUGUCAGUAAGCGCGAAGGUGCCAGUGCCGCGAUUGAAACGCACCUGAACGUCACUCUCCGUUCGGAACGUGUCACGUGCUCCGCUCCGCUUUGAAGCGCUUUUCGGUCGCGGUGUUUGCGCCGCCGCUUUCAGACACGCGCUUUUUUUUUUUGCAUUAUUAUUUUCGAAACAGUAACAUUUUUAUGUAAUUAAAAAGGCGCGUCAUACACCCAGCAGCAGGCUACGCGUGACAGGGAUAUUCGCGCUCUCAGCUCUGCUCCCCGCUUCUCUCACGCCACGGCGCUGUGUCGUUUUUUCUGCCCUUCGUAGCUCCUCGUUUGCGAACAAUGAAACCCAAUUUAUUGCUUUUCCGGAGCAGCAGAAGUUAGUAGUAUCCCGGCCGGCAGCACCGAAGACUCGAGGUGUUAUUAAUAAAUUAACACUCGAGGUGUUACAGCUAUUUCGACAACAAUCGAAUCCGCUGAAAACGUCGACUCUUUGGAAACGGGCUUUUUCUGAGGCCGACUGGACCGACUGCUCUACAACAGAUGUUCGCUGCACUUCUGCUCUUUUUCUCCGCCUCUUUCCUUUCUUGAUCUCUCAAACAUCGCAGGGUAGUGGUGGCCAGGAGCCCAUCCCAGAAGCGCUGGCCGCAAGGCUGAAGGCUACACCCCGGACGGGACGCCGGUCCAUCACAGGAGUCCAAGUCACAGCAUCUUGAAAGCUGACAACUAUCUGAGAUGUCAGUAUUAUUAAAGAAAGCUGGUAUUGCCUGUCCGUUGAACACGUGGAUUAACUGCCGUCGAUGCGCUUUGCUAAUUAAAAGCUGGCUUAAUAGUCAAAACAAAUAACAAAUAUUUAAUUUCACACCACUCGCAUUCACUGUAAUCACAGUUUUCUGUGAUUUUUUUUUUUAAAUUUAAUUCUUAAGGCACGUAAACACCAACCAUCUCCCCAUUAUGGGCAUGUGGUAGUUGGUGGGUAACAGUUGUCAUCUGUAUAUUCUGCUACAUAAAUUUUAAAAAAGUCUGUGCUUAUUAAAUGCAGUAAUAUAAAACUAAUUUUUAUUUCAUGUACACUGAAAAAUUCAUUUUUGUGUUUUGCAUGUCAUGACUAAUUUGAAUUUUAAGUAAUUUUAAAAUAU
This 1666-nucleotide long non-coding RNA is filed under the name Scleropages formosus (Asian bonytongue). RNAcentral describes it as "lncRNA (ENSSFOG00015027333.1)". Lineage: Eukaryota; Metazoa; Chordata; Actinopteri; Osteoglossiformes; Osteoglossidae. The record is from RNAcentral.